RNAcentral lists this ribosomal RNA (440 nucleotides) under uncultured bacterium. RNAcentral describes it as "partial 16S ribosomal RNA". It matches the Rfam family "Bacterial small subunit ribosomal RNA", at positions 338 to 795 of the family's 1533-position model. The record is from RNAcentral.
CCUACGGGGAGCAGCAGUGGGGAAUAUUGCACAAUGGGGGAAACCCUGAUGCAGCGACGCCGCGUGAGUGAAGAAGUAUUUCGGUACGUAAAGCUCUAUCAGCAGGGAAGAAAAUGACGGUACCUGACUAAGAAGCCCCGGCUAACUACGUGCCAGCAGCCGCGGUAAUACGUAGGGGGUAAGCGUUAUCCGGAUUUACUGGGUGUAAAGGGAGCGUAGACGGCAGCGCAAGUCUGGAGUGAAAUCCCAUGGCUUAACCAUGGAACUGCUUUGGAAACUGUGCAGCUAGAGUGCAGGAGAGGUAAGCGGAAUUCCUAGUGUAGCGGUGAAAUGCGUAGAUAUUAGGAGGAACACCAGUGGCGAAGGCGGCUUACUGGACUGUAACUGACGUUGAGGCUCGAAAGCGUGGGGAGCAAACAGGAUUAGAUACCCCUGUAGUC